Non-coding RNA from Candidatus Kaiserbacteria bacterium GWA2_50_9, 87 nucleotides. NCBI's taxonomy places the organism in Bacteria, Candidatus Kaiseribacteriota. The record is from Rfam.
GGAGGGGUACCGAAGUGGUUUAACGGACCAGUUUCGAAAACUGGCAGGGGCGAAAGUCUCUCGGGAGUUCGAAUCUCCCCCCCUCCG